UACAUAAAAUCGAAGUGUCGCUUUUGUGACAUUUUUCGGAAUUGGGUUAUCUUUAACCUUCAGGUUUAAGAGACUUGAAAUUUUGAUAAUUUUUUAUGCAUCCUUGACGUGUAUAAUUUAUUUAUCCGUUUCCGGGUGUCUACUUUUAUUAGGUAUGGUCAUGUUGUAUGAUAUCAUGCCUAUAAUUUUUCAUU
This 194-nucleotide unclassified non-coding RNA is filed under the name uncultured Glomerales. Its description in RNAcentral is "sequence contains ITS2". The record is from RNAcentral. Lineage: Eukaryota; Fungi; Glomeromycota; Glomeromycetes; Glomerales; Glomeraceae.